Molecule: long non-coding RNA, 228 nt
Organism: Gordionus sp. m RMFG-2023
Lineage: Eukaryota; Metazoa; Nematomorpha; Gordioida; Chordodea; Parachordodidae
Exons: 7
Source: RefSeq, a predicted model, not a curated record
AUGCACCACUAACAGGAGGCACAACAACUACAACCACAGCGACCUCAGACGCUUUAACCUCAGACGCUUUAAACCCAAAUAUGGGAAAUGACACUGUAGAAAAUGCACCACUAACAGGAGGCACAACAACUACAACCACAGCGAGUAUGAUACAUAGCUUUGUUCAAAUAAAAUAAUUGAUUUUCUUAAUAUUUAAAUUUAAACCUAUUGGCUUUAUUUUGUAAUAAC